This is a long non-coding RNA of Cannabis sativa, 843 nucleotides long. RefSeq lists it as uncharacterized. The transcript is spliced from 2 exons. Lineage: Eukaryota; Viridiplantae; Streptophyta; Magnoliopsida; Rosales; Cannabaceae. The record is from RefSeq and is a predicted model, not a curated record.
UCUAUUUUACACGCGUAUAAAAUAAAAUAGUCACGCGUGUAACACACUGUUUGAACAUAGUUUUCGGCGUGUUAGACUUUUCUAAAUUUCUUAAAAUUUUGCAGGAUGUCUUAAAUAACUAUAACGUACAUGACCAUGAGAAAAAAUUUUACUAAAAAAUUAUUUUGGAUGCUAAAACACAUAGCGGUGCAUCAAUAUAUUUAUUUCAUUGUAGAAUUUUCCAAUCAUAUAUAAUUUUCACAAAACUUGAUUGUGAAAAAAUUUCUAUGUGAAAAAGAAACUUCUCAGGUGACAAGAAUAAAAGUAAGACCAGGCAUUUUGUGCAAAACCGACAUUUUAUUCAUUUUUUUUUUUUUACCAAUAUUAUUACGUAUGGAAUGCGAAAAUACUCGAAAGUCCCAGAAAAUCAAAGCCGGAACAAGUCGAUUUGAAGCCGAACAGGAUAAUGAAGAAGAGGUUUGUUGAACUUAGAAGCAGAGACAAGUACAUUGUAACACAUCUUGGUUAGGCAUGUAGUUUGCUCCGACAAAGUUCGAAAAUUUAAGUAACUAUUGGUUACCUAUAUGGCGAAUAUUGUAAGAUUAUGAAAGGAACUCACAAGAAACGUCAAAAGAAUAGGGUGGAAUCACCCGUGACAACUUCUACAAAUUACUGAACACUAUAAUGAAUCAUGAAAAUAGAUGUAAUGAAAAUCUUUUAGGGGUUGUUUGGUACGCCCGUAUUGUAUUAAAUAAUAAAUAACAAUAUGUUUGGAUAAAGCAAUGUAUUAUAUUAAUUAUUACGACUAAAAUUUUUAAUACAAUAUAUGUUGUAUUAUUUAAUACAUAACAAAUGGUUUGUAUU